This 485-nucleotide ribosomal RNA is filed under the name uncultured Rikenellaceae bacterium. RNAcentral describes it as "bacterial SSU rRNA". It matches the Rfam family "Bacterial small subunit ribosomal RNA", at positions 898 to 1382 of the family's 1533-position model. Lineage: Bacteria; Pseudomonadati; Bacteroidota; Bacteroidia; Bacteroidales; Rikenellaceae. The record is from RNAcentral.
AACUUAAAGGAAGUUGACGGGGGCCCGCACAAGCGGAGGAACAUGUGGUUUAAUUCGAUGAUACGCGAGGAACCUUACCUGGGCUAGAACGCAUUCGGAAUCAGGCCGAAAGGCCUGCGCCAGCGAUGGCCGCUUGCGAGGUGCUGCAUGGUUGUCGUCAGCUCGUGCCGUGAGGUGUCGGGUUAAGUCCCAUAACGAGCGCAACCCCUACUGCUAGUUGCCAGCGGGUCAUGCCGGGGACUCUAGCGGAACUGCCAGCGUAAGCUGCGAGGAAGGUGGGGAUGACGUCAAAUCAGCACGGCCCUUACGUCCAGGGCUACACACGUGUUACAAUGGCCGGUACAGAGGGCAGCCACCCCGCGAGGGGGCGCGAAUCCCGAAAGCCGGUCCCAGUUCGGAUCGGAGUCUGCAACCCGACUCCGUGAAGCUGGAUUCGCUAGUAAUCGCGCAUCAGCCACGGCGCGGUGAAUACGUUCCCGGGCCUU